GUUUGUCUGGUACCCUGACAUACACAAAGCCUGACCUUUGGCCCGCUUUCUCACCAAUAAACUCCAGCCCCAUUAGGGUGCCCGCCUUGCCUCAGUCCCGCCAUGAGCUUCCUCCAGGCCUCAGGAGGUUAAGGGGGAUCAAGCUAGGAACAGGGUUCUGAGUCUGACAAAGUCGACGCCUCUGGCAGCUAACAGUGAGCCUCAGAUGCCUUAGGCAGCUGCAGGCCUGAGUCACUCUUGCAACCCAAAGCGGUGGACUGCAGGUGGACAAGAGUGUUCAAAAGGAACAUCAAGGUGCUGUGACCAGAAAGGAGAACAAGGCUGGGUGUGCCCACCUGAGUGAUGCCCACAGUUGUCUGUCCCCGGGGAGGACGUGGAGAGGCACAGACAAGAAGAGAUUGGUCCAGACUCUUUUGACUACACCAGUCGGUCUCUAGUCACGUUGUAUAUCUUAGUUGCAGGUCCUUCUAGUUGUAGGAUGUGGGACGCCGCCUCAACGUGGCCUGAUGAGUGGUGCCAUGUCCACACCCAGGAUCCGAACCCUGGGCUACUGCAGCGGAGCGUGUGAACUUAACCACUCGGCCACGGAGACGGCCCCAGUUUUACUGUACUUUUAAACAUCUUCCAAGACAAAGCUGGGACUGCCUGAGCACAGGGCUGGCACAUCUGGGAACCGCAAGAGACCAUUCAGUGUGGAGUUCAGAGGUCUCCUGGGCAUCUCUGGCUGGUGAGCUCAUCAUCUUCUCUCCCCAGCAUUUUCGUCUCACUAAUUGGCCCCAACAUCCAUCUGAUCACCUGGAGCAGAAGCAUCCACGAGACCGACAAGUGCUUGUGGAGCACCCAUUUCUAGCAUCAUCUCACCCAGUUCACUGUCUAGGUCCUGUUCUCCGUGAACCACUGUGUUCUUCUGCGCCUGAAUGCCUUUACUUAUGCUGUUCCCUCGGCCCCUUCUUCCUCGGCACUCGUGAAUAACUCAGCUUCAAGGCUCACCUCUCCCCUGGAAGACUAUCGUCCCCCGUCUUCUGUACAUCUCCCUCCCAGGGCCCUGUGUUAAUUUCUCCGACUGUAGUACAAGGAUUUGUUUGACUUCCCUCCUAGACUUAAGAAGUUCUUAGGAUCACAGGCCGAGGAAUGUAGCAGCCUCUGGAAGCUGGACAAAGCAAGGAGCUAUAUUCUCUUCUAGAACCUUCAAUAGUACAGUUCUGCUGACCCAUUUUGGAUUUCUAACCUCCAGAACUGGUCAUAGUAGAGGGAGCAGUCUGAGUGACCACAUGGGGACAUGUCAACAUCCACGCUUCCUUAGUUUCUGAGCUUUCAGAAGUGACCAGGUUUGUUUGCUGACCCAUCACUCCUUCCCAGGAUGCACUGCAAGAGAAACAAAAGAAAGGUCCUGUGAAGUGUCAAGUUGCGACUUGCUCUUCGCCCAGAGAGAACCUUCUUCACCAACAAUUACCACAUCAUCGUAAACACUCGGGAGAGACAUGAUGUAAAAAUGAAAUUACUGAAAACAUUUUUGGACUAACACUUGGCUUUAUAUAAACUCACAGACAAUCCUAUAAGGCACUCAAGCAGAUUAUGGGUUUGAGCAAAGCUGGAAAAUUGCUGCCAUUAUAUUGUUAUUAUUAACACCUUGUAAUUAGCCCUAAGGAAUCCCAAAGUUCUCUUUCUUGAUUUGGCUUUAAUGAAGGAAAAUUGCUACCUUUGCAAGUUGGAUGGCGCCCGUUCUGAUUAACCUUAAGUAUAUAGGACUAUUAUUUUGAAAAUGUUUGCUGUCAUGUGAAUAUUAGCAUUACAUACAACUGGGAAGGGGCUGGGGCUGGGAAGGUAGAGAGGAGGAGAUCCUCUUUUCCCUUCUCCUUCUUUCCGCCCCCCCACCCCCCCACCCCCAAAGGAAGGUGAAUCAUGGCCUUACUUCAGCUGUGGUCCUUGCUUGGAAAAUCAAGAAUGAAAGCCCUGUGAAGGCCAUGACCGCAAUUGCUUGGUCUUUGCCAAGCUCCACUGGCAAGGCUGUGGGCUGCCGGCUUCUCAACCUGUUGAUUGCACAGGCUGGCGGGGUAAUUGUACACGGUGGUUUUACCAUUACCUGGAGAGGGACCCUAUGGGGAUGAGAUCAUACGGGAGUUAGCACCUAGUGCCAUAAAGCAGGUUUUAUUUGCAUGUCCCAGAACUCUCCAGAGGCCCCUUCUGCAGCCUUCACAGGCACCGUGUCUCCAAUGAAACGCCGCCAACGUUAAUAAAAGAUCCCUCUAUAUAUCCCUCAACUCCCCUCCCACAGGCAAGUAAGUGCACUGUUUUCAUUACCUUCUCUGGGAAAACCAUACAUUAAAGAGAAGUCGUUUGAUCUUAUCUAUAAUUAAUUUGUAUUUUGAUAAUAUAGAGAAGGGAUUUUUACAUGUGAUGACUUACCUGUUCAUUAUUUUUCUCUUUUGAACUCCUGUAACCGCUUAAUAACUCAAGCUGCAGCAUGGCGGGUUAUGACGGUCUCCCCGCCCACCUUUCCGGAAGGGGAAGGUGUUGCCUCUCACACAGAGACAAAUUGC
This 2540-nucleotide long non-coding RNA is filed under the name Equus caballus (horse). RNAcentral describes it as "lncRNA (ENSECAG00000034304.3)". Lineage: Eukaryota; Metazoa; Chordata; Mammalia; Perissodactyla; Equidae. The record is from RNAcentral.